Molecule: long non-coding RNA, 263 nt
Organism: Rhagoletis pomonella (apple maggot)
Lineage: Eukaryota; Metazoa; Arthropoda; Insecta; Diptera; Tephritidae
Exons: 2
Source: RefSeq, a predicted model, not a curated record
AAAGGAAAUGGAUGUAUUGCGAAUUGUGUAACAAUAGUUAGCUGUCUCCUUUUCGUCCACGAUACAACCAGUCUAGGCUGGUAGCGAAAAUUCCAACACAUUUUCGUGGUUGCGUACUUUCGAAUAUUCAGCGCGCACCCGAGCGACGUGGAGCUGUAGCCGAGCAAGGAAAAUAUUUUCGCAGUUGGAUAAAAAUUUACCUGUCAAGUUUCGCUUGUAAAACAUAAUUUUAAUAAGGGCUGAAUAGACUUCAACAUCUAGUG